RNAcentral lists this transfer RNA (78 nucleotides) under Gammaproteobacteria bacterium. RNAcentral describes it as "tRNA-Pro". It matches the Rfam family "tRNA". Rfam says of the family: Transfer RNA (tRNA) molecules are approximately 80 nucleotides in length. The record is from RNAcentral. Lineage: Bacteria; Pseudomonadati; Pseudomonadota; Gammaproteobacteria.
CAGGGUGUAGCUCAGUCUGGUCAGAGCGCUUGCCUUGGGAGCAAGAAGUCGGGGGUUCAAAUCCCUCCACCCUGACCA